RNAcentral lists this non-coding RNA (45 nucleotides) under Echinostoma caproni. The record is from RNAcentral. Lineage: Eukaryota; Metazoa; Platyhelminthes; Trematoda; Plagiorchiida; Echinostomatidae.
GCACCUCUAACGAGUCCCAAACAGAACGAAACAGCCGUCCGGUGC